CCCGCUGAGUUUAAACAUAUCAAUAAGCGGAGGAAAAGAAACUUACAAAGAUUUCCCUAGUAACGACGAGCAAACCGGGAAUAGCCCAGCCUUAGAAUCGGGCGGCUUCGCUGUCCGAAUUGUAGUCUGGAGAAGCUUCCUCAGCGGCGGGCCGGGCCGAAGUCCCCAGGAAGGGGGCGCCAGAGAGGGUGAGAGCCCCGUUGUGCACGGACCCUGUCGCACCACGAGGCGCUGUCUACGAGUCGGGUUGUUUGGGAAUGCAGCCCAAAUCGGGCGGUGAAUUCCGUCCAUGGCUAAAUACGGGCGAGAGACCGAUAGCGAACAAGUACCGCGAGGAAAAGAUGAAAAGGACUUUGAAAAGAGAGUCAAAGAGUGCUUGAAAUUGUCGGGAGGGAAGCGGAUGGGGGCCGGCGAUGCGCCCCGGUCGGAUGUGGAACUGUGUUGAGCUGGUCCGCCGAUCGACUCGGGGCGUGGACCAGCAUGGAUUGGGGGGGGGGGGCGGCAAAAGCCCGGGCCUUUGAUACGCCCGUGGAACGCCGUCUCCUCGAUUGUAGUAGGCAGCGCGCGCCCUUUGCGUGCUACGGCAUCUGCGUGCUCCGGAUACUGGCUGUGGGCUCCCCAUUCGACCCGUCUUGAAACACAGACCAAGGAGUCUGACAUGUGUACGAGUCAACGGGCGAGUAAACCCGUAAGGUGUAAGGAAGCUGAUUGGUGGGAUCCCCCUGAGGGGUGCACCGCCGAUCGACCUUGAUCUUCUGUGAAGGGUUCGAGUGAGAGCAUACCUGUCGGGACCCGAAAGAUUGUGAACUAUGCCUGAGCGGCGCGAAGCCAGAGGAAACUAUGGUGGAGGCCCGCAGCGAUACCGACGUGCAAAUCGUUCGUCUGACUUGGGUAUAGGGGCAAAAGACUAAUCGAACCGUCUAGUAGCUGGUUCCUUCGUUUCCCUCAGGAUAGCUGGAGCUCGCGUGCGAGUUCUAACGGGUAAAACCAAUGAUUAGAGGCAUCGGGGGCGCAACGCCCUCGACCUAUUCUCAAACUUUAAAUAUGUAGGACGGCGCUGCUGCUUUGUUGAGCCGCGCCACGGAAUCAAGAGCUCUAAGUAGGCCUUCCCCGGGCGCGAACAGCCAACUCAGAACUGGUACA
RNAcentral lists this non-coding RNA (1143 nucleotides) under Nicotiana attenuata. RNAcentral's name for it is "Eukaryotic large subunit ribosomal RNA". It matches the Rfam family "Eukaryotic large subunit ribosomal RNA", at positions 24 to 1157 of the family's 3401-position model. The record is from Rfam by way of RNAcentral. Lineage: Eukaryota; Viridiplantae; Streptophyta; Magnoliopsida; Solanales; Solanaceae.